This 253-nucleotide ribosomal RNA is filed under the name uncultured bacterium. Its description in RNAcentral is "partial 16S ribosomal RNA". It matches the Rfam family "Bacterial small subunit ribosomal RNA", at positions 524 to 776 of the family's 1533-position model. The record is from RNAcentral.
UACGUAGGGGGCAAGCGUUGUCCGGAAUCAUUGGGCGUAAAGAGCGUGUAGGCGGCUCGAUAAGUCCGCUGUGAAAGUCCAGGGCUCAACCCUGGAAGGCCGGUGGAAACUGUCGGGCUAGAGUCCGGAAGAGGCGAGUGGAAUUCCCGGUGUAGCGGUGAAAUGCGCAGAUAUCGGGAGGAACACCCGUAGCGAAGGCGGCACUCUGGGCCGGUACUGACGCUGAGGAGCGAAAGCGUGGGGAGCAAACAGG